RNAcentral lists this ribosomal RNA (253 nucleotides) under uncultured bacterium. RNAcentral's name for it is "partial 16S ribosomal RNA". It matches the Rfam family "Bacterial small subunit ribosomal RNA", at positions 524 to 776 of the family's 1533-position model. The record is from RNAcentral.
GACGGAGGAUGCAAGCGUUAUCCGGAAUGAUUGGGCGUAAAGCGUCCGCAGGUGGCAGUUCAAGUCUGCUGUCAAAGACCGGGGCUUAACUUCGGAAAGGCAGUGGAAACUGAACAGCUAGAGUAUGGUAGGGGCAGAGGGAAUUCCUGGUGUAGCGGUGAAAUGCGUAGAUAUCAGGAGGAACACCGGUGGCGAAGGCGCACAUCUGGCCCGAUACUGACGCUGAGGCGCGAAAGCUAGGGGAGCAAACGGG